GACGAACGCUGGCGGCGUGCUUAACACAUGCAAGUCGAACGGAAAGGCCCUGCUUUUGUGGGGUGCUCGAGUGGCGAACGGGUGAGUAACACGUGAGUAACCUGCCCUUGACUUUGGGAUAACUUCAGGAAACUGGGGCUAAUACCCGAUAGGAGCUCCUGCUGCAUGGUGUGGGAUGGAAAGUUUCGGCGGUUGGGGAUGGACUCGCGGCUUAUCAGCUUGUUGGUGGUGUAGUGGCUUAACAAGGCUUUGACGGGUAGCCGGCCUGAGAGGGUGACCGGCCACAUUGGGACUGAGAUACGGCCCAGACUCCUACGGGAGGGAGCAGUGGGGAAUAUUGCACAAUGGGCGGAAGCCUGAUGCAGCAACGCCGCGUGCGGGAUGACGGCCUUCGGGUUGUAAACCGCUUUCGCCUGUGACGAAGCGUGAGUGACGGUAAUGGGUAAAGAAGCACCGGCUAACUACGUG
This 468-nucleotide ribosomal RNA is filed under the name uncultured bacterium. RNAcentral describes it as "partial 16S ribosomal RNA". It matches the Rfam family "Bacterial small subunit ribosomal RNA", at positions 28 to 507 of the family's 1533-position model. The record is from RNAcentral.